This 429-nucleotide ribosomal RNA is filed under the name Gemmatimonadota bacterium. RNAcentral's name for it is "Gemmatimonadetes bacterium partial 16S ribosomal RNA". It matches the Rfam family "Bacterial small subunit ribosomal RNA", at positions 355 to 776 of the family's 1533-position model. Lineage: Bacteria; Pseudomonadati; Gemmatimonadota. The record is from RNAcentral.
UAGGGAAUCUUCGGCAAUGGACGAAAGUCUGACCGAGCAACGCCGCGUGAGUGAAGAAGGUUUUCGGAUCGUAAAACUCUGUUGUUAGAGAAGAACAAGGACGUUAGUAACUGAACGUCCCCUGACGGUAUCUAACCAAAAAGCCACGGCUAACUACGUGCCAGCAGCCGCGGUAAUACGUAGGUGGCAAGCGUUGUCCGGAUUUAUUGGGCGUAAAGCGAGCGCAGGCGGUUUCUUAAGUCUGAUGUGAAAGCCCCCGGCUCAACCGGGGAGGGUCAUUGGAAACUGGGAGGCUUGAGUGCAGAAGAGGAGAGUGGAAUUCCAUGUGUAGCGAUGAAAUGCGUAGAUAUAUGGAGGAACACCAGUGGCGAAGGCGGCUCUCUGGUCUGUAACUGACGCUGAGGCUCGAAAGCGUGGGGAGCAAACAGG